This is an RNA transcript of Mustela lutreola (European mink), 2894 nucleotides long. It is a transcript of the gene named tectonic family member 1, with no coding region annotated. The record is from RefSeq and is a predicted model, not a curated record. NCBI's taxonomy places the organism in Eukaryota, Metazoa, Chordata, Mammalia, Carnivora, Mustelidae. The transcript is spliced from 16 exons.
AGCAGCAGCCACGGUUGCCAGGCAACGCGCGGUCCCCGCCGCGGUUGGCGCGGCGUUCAGCCUGGCCAUGGGGCCGCUGGGCGUUCGGCCGCUCCUGCUUCUGCUUCUGGAUUGCUGGGCCUCGGUGAGCGCCCAGACCAGGGCUACUCCACCUGUGCCGACGGAGGGCCUCAACUCUACGGAGGCAGCCCGGACGACUCCCCGACCCGCCUUGUCUCCGAGGCCCUUUGGAACUCCCAAGGCCCCCGUCCCCACCUCUGGCCCCAGGCCCACCCCGGUCACGGACGUUGCUGCUCUGUGCGUCUGUGACCUGACUCCCGCUCAGUGUGACGUCAACUGCUGCUGUGAUCCUGAUUGCAGCUCCACGGAUGUCAGUGUCUUUUCUGCCUGUUCAGUUCCAGUUGUCACGGGUGAUAGUCAGUUUUGUAGUCAAAAAGCAGCCAUCUAUUCAUUGAAUUUUACAGCAGAUCCACCUCAAAGGAUAUUUAAACUUGUUGACCAGAUUAAUCCAUCUAUUUUCUGCGUUCAUAUUACAAACUAUAAACCUGCGUUAUCCUUUAUUAAUCCAGAAGUGCCUGAUGAAAAUAAUUUUGAUAAAUUGAUGAAAACAUCUGAUGGUUUUUCCUUCAGUUCAGAAUCAGAGAUUUCUUUCUCAACCCAGUCGGACACUCUAACUCCUGCUAAAUAUAAGUAUGGGUCUCCUCUCCAGACUUCAGAUUCCUUCUUGAGAUUUCCCUCUCCCCUUACGUCAUCUCUGUGCACUGAUAAUAACCCUGCAGCAUUUCUGGUGAACCAAGCUGUUAAGUGCACCAGAAGAAUAAAUUUGGAACAGUGUGAAGAAAUUGAAGCCCUGGGCAUGGCUUAUUACAGCAGUCCUAAAAUUCUGAGGGUUCCUGGUUUAAGAACAGAGGCAGAGAUCCCUGUCACUGUUCAGUCCGUCCUCGUGCAGUCUCUGAAUAAAACACUGACCCGGCUGGAGGACACGGUCGAAUUGAACCAGACUCUUGUCGAGGCUGGGGAUGUUAAAAUCUGCACUAACAUCGUUCUCGAGGCGAAGUACAGCAUCACGUACACAGACGCAGGGGAGGUAGCCCAGGCUGGCCUCGCUCUCCUUCUGGGGACGGUGAGGCGGGCAGUGGUCGCACUCGAGCAGAAGUUUGAAAUUCAUUUCAUUCAGCAAAAUACAAAGCCAGUUCCUCUCAGCGGAAACCCUGGUUAUGUCGUGGGGCUCCCGUUAGCUGCCGGAUUUCGGCCUCAGAAGGGAUCUGGGAUUAUUCAGACCAUGAACAGAUUCGGACAACUUACUAUUCUUCGUGGCCUAGCCGAGCAAGACUGCUUCGCAGUGGAGGGGAUCCGGGCCCCAGUAUUAUUUGGUUACGACAUGCAGUCUGGCUGUAAAUUAAGACUGCCCAAAGCCAUGACGUGCCAGCUCGCAGUGCGGAGAGUGAAGAGCCUCCUGCAGGGCCAAGGCUUCCCGGACUAUGUGGCCCCUUUCGGAAAUUCCCAGGCCCAGGAUGUGCUGGACUGGGUACCGGUCCACUUCAUCACCCAGGCAUCCCACGUGAAGGACUCUUGCCAGCUCCCUGUGGCUUUGGUGAUAGAAGUGAAGUGGACUAAAUACGGGUCCUUACUAAACCCACAAGCUAAAGUAGUAAAUGUGACCGCAAGUCUCCUGUCAUCUUCCUUUCCUGAGACCAACUCAGGAAGCGAGAGGACGGUUCUCAUUUCCACUGCGGUUACUUUUGUGGACGCAUCUGCACCUGCCGAGGCAGGCUUCAGAGCUCGGCCAACCAUCAACGCCAAGCUGCCGUUUAAUUUCUUCUUUCCGUUUGUCUGACAAUGCUCAUAGGAGAGGACGCCUUGGUUCCUUAUACAUGCGAAAUGUGAAAAGAAAACACUAGCCAGGAAGAGGAGGAACCAUGACCUCUGGGCCCAGUCCCAGGCUCCGCCCAGCCAGCUGUCCCUCUGUGGCCUGAGAGGACAGGGGACAUACCGUUGAUGAUCCGGGCCACCCGCCACAGCCGGAGCAGAAUCAGCAGGCCAAGAGCCUCAAACUGGUGCUUCUGGAAUAGGAGGAUGAAGUCGAGGAUGAAGGAAACCAGCACCACAAAGGCGUCCAGGAUUUCAAACUUGUGGUGAAAGAACUCCAUGCGGAAGACAAAUAACUUAAAGAAUAUCUCCAUCAUAAAGAAGGUCAGGAUGGCAAAGCUCAUGUAGUGGAAGACCUGGAGAGGACAGAAGAGGCACAGUGAGAACGAUCCAGGGCUGCCCAAAGGCUGGAGCAGGGCGCACACAUGUGCUGGGCUGCAGAGCCCCUGCCUGGGCACCACAGAGCAAAUGCACUUGACCCAUCCCAAACUCCCCAGGGGCUGUUCUCUGACUGGGGCCACGCAGGUUUGAAAACCAUCAUGCCUUUCGGCCCAGUAAUUCCAAAUGCUCGUAUUUCAUCCCACAGCUCUGCUCACACGGGCACAAAGGCAUGUUGUAGGGAUCUUUGCUGUAGCAUCAUUUGCAGACAUAAGAUUUUCUACCUUGUUCAUAGAAUAGAAAUUCUAUUGGAGGGCACCUGUCAGAUCCCUUACAGUCCCUCCAUAGGGAGCGCAAUGCAAUUGUUAAAGACCAAGGCUAACUCCUAGGUAUUGACUAAAAAUGAUUACUUAGGUAGAUGGUAAUUGAGGAGGCUUCCUGGAUCUUGAUUUAGAAAUACUAGCUCUUGGGGCACCAGGGUGGCUCAGUGGUUAAGCCUCUGCCUUCAGCUCGGGUCACGGUCUCAGGGUCCUAGGAUCGAGCCCCACAUCGCGCUCUCUGCUCGGCAGGGAGCCUGCUCCCCCCCCCCCCCCGCGCCUACUUGUGUUCUCUCUGUCAAAUAAAUAAAAUCUUUAUAAAAAAAGAAA